AUAGGGCUUGGUUGUCCAAUUCUCUCUUUCAAGUCAACCAUAGUCAACUUUGCGUUCUUCAGGGGCGGGUGUGUAAGAUUCUGCCGUUUUCGUAACACAAACUCUCCAGCGUUAGAAACCGAUACAAAAUCUAACCACAUAGAUGUCAAACGAAAUCGUACAACAAGGGUAGCAUACAGUACCACAAGGGACAACUCAGACCAGAGCGACGAGGCAGCCAUGAAUGUGUUUAGGUUAGCGGGGGACAUGACCCACCUCCUCAGCAUAAUUGUUCUUCUCCUCAAAAUCCGCACAAUGAAAUCCUGUGCUGGUAUGUAUACAUACUGUAUACCUGUGUAAAAAAGUGUGUGUCAAUUUCUGCAGUAUUUCUUUGAUUUGGCGAAGUUUUAUUGAUUUGAUAAUAAAAAUUAUAUUGCAGCUUAUCGAUACUGUUUUAUUUGCGAGAAAUGUGACGGUCGUCUAGUUUAGUGCUGGGAGUUCGGAUCAGGGUUUGGAAUCCAGUUAUAAAAUUAGCGUUUUCAUUUGAAAAAUUCACGAUUGACAAAGAUAAAUUUUUGAAUGAACGGAAUUUGAUCAGUGACCGAAAAUGUGCAACUGCUUUGUAAAUCUUCUGAACAAUGACCCAUGAAUAUCAAGCACACUCAAAUUUAGUAAUACCGUGGGUGAAAAAUGCAAGAUUUUGGCAAACAAUCUGUAAGCCAACGCUGCUAAAUUUGGAAAUCAUGGCUUUCUUCUCUCCCUGAAGUUUAUGGAAAUGGUUUUGUUUUUAUCAUCCUCCUCUGUGACUGGGUUUUAAUUUUGUGCUGGUUUUUCAAAUUAAUAUCUG
Molecule: long non-coding RNA, 826 nt
Filed under: Olea europaea subsp. europaea
Lineage: Eukaryota; Viridiplantae; Streptophyta; Magnoliopsida; Lamiales; Oleaceae
Source: RNAcentral